Molecule: ribosomal RNA, 506 nt
Filed under: uncultured bacterium
Lineage: Bacteria
Description: partial 16S ribosomal RNA
Rfam family: Bacterial small subunit ribosomal RNA
Source: RNAcentral
AUUGAACGCUGGCGGCAGGCCUAACACAUGCAAGCCGAACGGCAGCACAGAAGAGCUUGCUCUUUGGGUGGCGAGUGGCGGACGGGUGAGUAAUGUCUGGGAAACUGCCCGAUGGAGGGGGAUAACUACUGGAAACGGUAGCUAAUACCGCAUAACGUCGCGAGACCAAAGUGGGGGACAUUCGGGACUGACACCAUCGGAUGUGUCCAGAUUGGAUUAGCUAGUAGGUGGGGUAAUGGCUCACCUAGGGGAAGAUCCCUAGCUGGUCUGAGAGGAUCACCAGCCACACUGGAACUGAGACACGGUCCAGACUCCUACGGGAGGCAGCAGUGGGGAAUAUUGCACAAUGGGCGCAAGCCUGAUGCAGCCAUGCCGCGUGUAUGAAGAAGGCCUUCGGGUUGUAAAGUACUUUCAGCGGGGAGGAAGGCGGUGAGGUUAAUAACCUCGCCGAUUGACGUUACCCGCAGAAGAAGCACCGGCUAACUCCGUGCCAGCCGCCGCAGUAA